RNAcentral lists this ribosomal RNA (468 nucleotides) under uncultured bacterium. Its description in RNAcentral is "partial 16S ribosomal RNA". It matches the Rfam family "Bacterial small subunit ribosomal RNA", at positions 28 to 507 of the family's 1533-position model. The record is from RNAcentral.
GACGAACGCUGGCGGCGUGCUUAACACAUGCAAGUCGAACGAAAAGGCCCUGCUUUUGUGGGGUGCUCGAGUGGCGAACGGGUGAGUAACACGCGAGUAUCCUGCCCUUGACUUUGGGAUAACUUCAGGAAACAGCGGAUAAUACCGGAUAGGAGCUCCUGCUGCACGGGGGGGAUUGGAAAGUUUCGGCGGUGGGGGAUGGACUCGCGGUUUAUCAGCUUGUUGGUGUGGUAGUGGCUGACAAAGGUUUUGACGGAUAGCCGGCCUGGGAGAUUGACCGGGCACAAUGGUACUGCGGGAGGGCCCAGACUCGAACGGGAGGCAACGGUCGGAAACAUUGCGCAAUGGGCGGACGUCUGAUGCGGCAACGUCGGGAUCGGGAUGACGGGCUUCGGGUGAAAAACAGCUGUCGCAGUUGACGAAGAGUGAGUGACGGUAAUUGGUCAAGAAGCACCGGCUAACUACGUG